AUGCAGUCGACGAGAAGCUUUAGCUUGCUAGAGCGAGUAAAGUGGCGCACGGGUGAGUAACGCGUGGAUAAUCUACCCUUGGAUUGGGGAUAACAUUGCGAAAGCGAUGCUAAUACCGGAUGAUAUUCUAUUUUCGUAGGUAAGUAGAAUCAAAGAUGGCCUCUUAACAAAGCUAUUGUCUGGGGAUGAGUCCGCGUACCAUUAGCUAGUUGGUAGGGUAAAGGCCUACCAAGGCAACGAUGGUUAGCUGGUCUGAGAGGAUGAUCAGCCACACUGGAACUGACACACGGUCCAGACUCCUACGGAGGCAGCAGUGAGGAAUUUUGCGCAAUGGGGGAAACCCUGACGCAGCAACGCCGCGUGAGUGAUGAAGGUUUUCGGAUCGUAAAGCUCUGUCGAGUGGGAAGAAAGUAUAUGUGAAUAAUACUCAUUAGUACUGACGGUACCACAAAAGGAAGCACCGGCUAACUCCGUG
RNAcentral lists this ribosomal RNA (475 nucleotides) under uncultured bacterium. Its description in RNAcentral is "bacterial SSU rRNA". It matches the Rfam family "Bacterial small subunit ribosomal RNA", at positions 55 to 507 of the family's 1533-position model. The record is from RNAcentral.